AUACCUCAAGUGUCGAAUUUAUUUUCGUGCGCUUGGAUUUGGACUCUGCCGCUUGCUCUCCCGAGCGGCUGGUCUUAAAUGCAUUAGCUGAUCCAUGCUUGUGUGCUUGGUUCUACUCGGCGUGAUAAUUAUCUGACCGCUGAGGACAUUUGCCUUGUGCGAAUGGCCAGGUGUGCCUUGGGUUGCUUCUAACCCCGGUCUUGUCACCGGAACGACUUUUUCAA
Molecule: unclassified non-coding RNA, 224 nt
Filed under: uncultured Tylospora
Lineage: Eukaryota; Fungi; Basidiomycota; Agaricomycetes; Atheliales; Atheliaceae
Description: sequence contains ITS2
Source: RNAcentral